CAAGUCGAACGAAGUCUUCGGACUUAGUGGCGCACGGGUGCGUAACGCGUGGGAAUCUCGCCCUUGGGUGCGGAAUAACUUCUACGAAAGGGAUGACUAAUACCGCAUAAUGUCGUAAGACCAAAGAUUUAUCGCCCAAGGAUGAGCCCGCGUAAGAUUAGCUAGUUGGUGGGGUAAAAAGCCUACCAAGGCGACGAUCUUUAGCUGGUCUGAGAGGAUGAUCAGCCACACUGGGACUGAGACACGGCCCAGACUCCUACGGGAGGCAGCAGGUGGGGAAUAUUGGACAAUGGGCGAAAGCCUGAUCCAGCAAUGCCGCGUGAGUGAUGAAGGCCCUAGGGUUGUAAAGCUCUUUUACCAGGGAUGAUAAUGACAGUACCUGGAGAAUAAGCUCCGGCUAACUCCGUG
This 408-nucleotide ribosomal RNA is filed under the name uncultured bacterium. Its description in RNAcentral is "bacterial SSU rRNA". It matches the Rfam family "Bacterial small subunit ribosomal RNA", at positions 58 to 507 of the family's 1533-position model. The record is from RNAcentral.